This 490-nucleotide ribosomal RNA is filed under the name uncultured bacterium. RNAcentral describes it as "partial 16S ribosomal RNA". It matches the Rfam family "Bacterial small subunit ribosomal RNA", at positions 29 to 507 of the family's 1533-position model. The record is from RNAcentral.
AGUGAACGCUGGCGGUAGGCCUAACACAUGCAAGUCGAACGGCAGCACAGUAAGAGCUUGCUCUUACGGGUGGCGAGUGGCGGACGGGUGAGGAAUACAUCGGAAUCUACUUUUUCGUGGGGGAUAACGUAGGGAAACUUACGCUAAUACCGCAUACGACCUACGGGUGAAAGCAGGGGAUCUUCGGACCUUGCGCGAUUGAAUGAGCCGAUGUCGGAUUAGCUAGUUGGCGGGGUAAGGGCCCACCAAGGCGACGAUCCGUAGCUGGUCUGAGAGGAUGAUCAGCCACUGGAACUGAGACACGGUCCAGACUCCUACGGGAGGCAGCAGUGGGGAAUAUUGGACAAUGGGCGCAAGCCUGAUCCAGCCAUACCGCGUGGGUGAAGAAGGCCUUCGGGUUGUAAAGCCCUUUUGUUGGGAAAGAAAAGCAGCAGGUUAAUACCCCGCUGUUCUGACGGUUCCCAAAGAAUAAGCACCGGCUAACUUCGUG